Molecule: ribosomal RNA, 1467 nt
Filed under: uncultured Bordetella sp.
Lineage: Bacteria; Pseudomonadati; Pseudomonadota; Betaproteobacteria; Burkholderiales; Alcaligenaceae
Description: partial 16S-23S ribosomal RNA intergenic spacer
Rfam family: Bacterial small subunit ribosomal RNA
Source: RNAcentral
GGUUCGAUUAUGGCUCAGAUUGAACGCUGGCGGGAUGCUUUACACAUGCAAGUCGAACGGCGGCACGGACUUCGGUCUGGUGGCGAGUGGCGAACGGGUGAGUAAUGUAUCGGAACGUGCCUGACAGGGGAUAACUACGCGAAGCGUAGCUAACCGCAUACGCCCUUCGGGGAAAGCGGGGGACCUUCGGGCCUCGCACUAUUAGAGCAGCCGAUAUCGGAUUAGCUAGUUGGUGGGGUAACGGCUCACAAGGCGACGAUCCGUAGCUGGUUUGAGACGACCAGCCACACUGGGACUGAGACGGCCCAGACUCCUACGGGAGGCAGCAGUGGGAAUUUUGGACAAUGGGGAAACCCUGAUCCAGCCAUCCCGCGUGUGCGAUGAAGGCCUUCGGGUUGUAAAGCACUUUUGGCAGGAAAACGGCACGGGAUAAUACCCCGUGCAACGCUGACGAAGCACCUGCAGAAUAAGCACCGGCUUCUUCCAUUGCCAGCAGCCGCGUGUACGUAGGGUGCAAGCGUUAAUCGGAAUUACUGGGCGUAAAGCGUGCGCGAGCGGUUCGGAAAGAAGAUGUGAAAUCCCAGAGCUUAACUUUUGGAACUGCAUUUUUAACUACCGAGCUAGGUGUGUCAGAGGAGAUUAGAUUCCGCGUGUAGCAAUUGAAAUGCGUAGAUAUGCGGAGGAACACCGAUGGCGAAGGCAACCUCGCAGGAUAACACUGACGCUCAUGCACGAAAGCGUGGGGAGCAAACAGGAUUAGAUACCCUGGUAGUCCACGCCCUAAACGAUGUCCAGCAAGCUGUUGGGGCCUUCUGAGCUGGUAGCGCAAUAACGCGUAGAAGUUGACCGCCUGGGAAGGCUACAGUCGCAAGAUUAAAAACUCAAAAGGAAUUGACGGGGACCCGCUGAAAGCGGUGGAUGAUGUGGAUUAAUUCGAUUAAACGCGAAAAACCUUACCUACCCUUAUUGUCUGGAAUCCCGAAGAUUUGGGAGUGCUCGCAAAGAGAACCGGAACACGGGUGCUGCAUGGCUGUCGUCAGCUCGUGUCGUGAGAUGUUGGGUUAAGUCCGCAACGAAGCGCAACCCUUGUCGUUAGUUGCUACGAAGGGCACUCUAAUGAGACUGCCGGUGACAAACCGGAGGAAGGUGGGGAUGACGUCAAGUCCUCAUGGCCCUUGGGUAGGGCUUCACACGUCAUACAAUGGUCGGGACAGAGGGUCGCCAACCCGCGAGGGGAGCCAAUCCCAGAAACCCGAUCGUAGUCCGGAUCGCAGUCUGCAGCUCGACUGCGUGAAGUCGGAAUCGCUAGUAAUCGCGGAUCGGCAUGUCGCGGUGAAUACGUUCCCGGGUCUUGUACACACCACCCGUCACACCAUGGGAGUGGGUUUGCAAGAAGUAGUUAGCCUAACCGUAAGGAGGGCGAUUACCACGUGGGAUUCAUGACUGAUUGAAGUCGUAACAAGGUAG